GUAUCGAAUGUUGAAUAUUCGAAUUCGAAUACGGACACAUUUGAACUAGGCCUCUAAACGAAUUCGGUCUCGAAUACGGUCCGAAAAUAUCCGUACUGUUUUCAUUCUUAGUUCUGACCAACGGAGAUGGGCAGCAGCAGCGCCAUUAUUGCUGUGAAAAUAUUUUGGAUUUCGCUAUUAUAGCACUUUUGAUUGUGUGU
This 200-nucleotide long non-coding RNA is filed under the name Sorghum bicolor (sorghum). RNAcentral's name for it is "long non-coding RNA (SBIC_LNC013023)". Lineage: Eukaryota; Viridiplantae; Streptophyta; Magnoliopsida; Poales; Poaceae. The record is from RNAcentral.